Molecule: ribosomal RNA, 422 nt
Filed under: uncultured Lachnospiraceae bacterium
Lineage: Bacteria; Bacillati; Bacillota; Clostridia; Lachnospirales; Lachnospiraceae
Description: bacterial SSU rRNA
Rfam family: Bacterial small subunit ribosomal RNA
Source: RNAcentral
UGGGGAAUAUUGCACAAUGGGGGAAACCCUGAUGCAGCGACGCCGCGUGAAGGAAGAAGUAUUUCGGUAUGUAAACUUCUAUCAGCAGGGAAGAAAAUGACGGUACCUGACUAAGAAGCUCCGGCUAAAUACGUGCCAGCAGCCGCGGUAAUACGUAUGGAGCAAGCGUUAUCCGGAUUUACUGGGUGUAAAGGGAGCGUAGGCGGUAGGGCAAGUCUGAUGUGAAACUCCGGGGCUCAACUCCGGACUUGCAUUGGAAACUGUCAGACUGGAGUGCGGGAGAGGCAGGCGGAAUUCCUAGUGUAGCGGUGAAAUGCGUAGAUAUUAGGAGGAACACCAGUGGCGAAGGCGGCCUGCUGGACCGUAACUGACGCUGAGGCUCGAAAGCGUGGGGAGCGAACAGGAUUAGAUACCCUGGUAGU